AUUACAGAUGCUGUUUAAUCACUGAUUGAAUCUUUACCCACCAUCCUGAUAAAGUGGCAACAUGUGCAAACUCACUCUAACUGCAGGUCUCUGUUUGAUCAUCGCCAGCUUGGGAUAUCCUGGCCUCACAGAUACAGCUGCAGUGCCACCAAACCCCUGUGAUGGAAAGAGCAAUGGGCAAUACUC
Etheostoma cragini (Arkansas darter) is the source of this 186-nucleotide long non-coding RNA. RefSeq lists it as uncharacterized. The record is from RefSeq and is a predicted model, not a curated record. Lineage: Eukaryota; Metazoa; Chordata; Actinopteri; Perciformes; Percidae. The transcript is spliced from 4 exons.